GACGAGGGAUCCUAGCGUUGCUCGGAAUUAUUGGGCGUAAAGCGGGCGUAGGCGGCUUGGUAAGUCAGAUGUGAAAGCCCUGGGCUUAACCCAGGAAGUGCAUUUGAUACUGCUGAGCUUGAGUGCGAGAGAGGUUAAUAGAAUACCUGGUGUAGUGGUGAAAUUCGUAGAUAUCGGGAGGAACACCGGUGGCGAAGGCGGCGACCUGGGUCGAUACUGACGCUGAGGUGCGAAAGCGUGGGGAGCAAACAGG
RNAcentral lists this ribosomal RNA (253 nucleotides) under uncultured bacterium. RNAcentral describes it as "partial 16S ribosomal RNA". It matches the Rfam family "Bacterial small subunit ribosomal RNA", at positions 524 to 776 of the family's 1533-position model. The record is from RNAcentral.